UCUGGCUCUACUGAUAGGAGGGACAGAGAAGGGAUGGAACUGUUUGAGGAGGGAGGAGCUGUCCAUCAAGUCAGGCCUGGCCCUUUUCUGGAGGAACCAUCUGUGGCCUCCUCCAGCAGGGAUGACAGCGACUGAACAGGAGCAAAUUCCUGCACCUCGUCCCACUACCCCCGCCUCCUCCGACCUCCCCCAUCCCCCCGCAGCCCUGGCCCAGCAGGAGCGCAGCUGCAGUCAGUGCUUACUGGGAAGGGAGAGUGCAGAGACCAGGAUGAGUAAGGUGGGACCUGGAAUCAAGAGCAAGUUCACAGCCAGGAGGCCAGGCCAGGAGGUCAACAGAAACUGGGUCAGAAGGAAGAAUUUGGACUUUAUCCUGAGGUCAUCAGGGGCGGCUGGGAGUGGAGUAGGAGUGCAGGGUCAGUGGGCCCCUGGCACCUGUGCGUGGCUCCCUGUGUGCCCUAGCCCCCUAGCCCCGUGGGAAGGAAGAGGGGGCCUCUCUCCGCACUUCCUCUGCCCAUGCACGGCUCCCACGCUUGGAGCAUCCAGGUACGGGGCCUCUCUCCCCACUCACCUGUGGGUUCUCUGCCCCUCCCCAGAGGUCCUUCCGGUGUGGAGCUCUGAAUUCCCCCCACCUCCGCCCUAAGUGGGCAGGCGUCGGGGGGGAGG
RNAcentral lists this long non-coding RNA (663 nucleotides) under Ursus maritimus (polar bear). RNAcentral describes it as "lncRNA (ENSUMAG00000013776.1)". The record is from RNAcentral. Lineage: Eukaryota; Metazoa; Chordata; Mammalia; Carnivora; Ursidae.